RNAcentral lists this long non-coding RNA (327 nucleotides) under Coffea arabica (coffee). Its description in RNAcentral is "long non-coding RNA (CARA_LNC006537)". The record is from RNAcentral. Lineage: Eukaryota; Viridiplantae; Streptophyta; Magnoliopsida; Gentianales; Rubiaceae.
ACCACAGGGGACCGCAAAACUAGCAGACAUUUUCUCCUGGACCUUUGGCCUCAAAAUUUGUAGAAUCCAAUCCCGGAACCAGCAAGGCAACUUUGGGAUUGCCUACUAUUGAGCCUACCAAUUAGGAUGCCUUAAUGUUGAUUGCGAAGAUCCUCAAUUUCCUCAUCUCCAGGCUGAUAACGCUCGCCCAGAUCAUGUCAUGUCCAAUCAAGCAUGCAACGUUUUUUCAUCUCAAAAGGGAGACAGCGGGCAAGGGACAAUUUUCACUACGGACUCGACUGCUAAUCUUACUACGGACUCGACUGAUGAUCCGUUAUCGAACCUGCC